AUAACCUUUUUCUUACAACUUGACCAAAUUAAUACAUUGUAUCAAUUUUCCAAUCUUAUCGAACACCCUGUAUAUCUAAGUUCUUCUGCACCCUGCACUACCACCACCACCACACCCUCGCCCCUUCUUCUUUCAUCCUGCUCCCUCUUUCGACUGCUCGCCAUAGCUCGACGUUCACCGUCGCUUCUUUCUUCUUGUGUGUAGCUCUUUGCCCGGCUCUUGUAUUUCUUUUUCUGUGUUACGUACCACGGCUCUUUGCUCUUCGAAGUCCAAGAAGUUCUGUGACGAACGACGGACAUAAGCAGGAGCAGCUGUUCCCAACAGACGUCGCUUUGCUUUUCUCUUUCGAUGUCUAUGCUCCCUCCUCUACUACCCGUUUCCGAUCUCUUGCGGUGUCCCCAUUUUCUCUUGGAAGAAACAUCCACCUCCCUUUGUUGACGAAUCGUAACGAAGUCGUAAUGAAAGGACCCUUGCAGUCGGAUCAAAAUUGGCAUUCUACGUUUUCAACUAGCCCUAGUUUACAUCGAUGGACCAUUAGUAUGCGGUGGAAUUACUAUACCAGGGUACACAAAGGAGGGAGAUAGGUAAAAAAAAAUAUUCGUGGACAGAAAGCUGAAACGUUGGCGGACUAAUUCGCUGGGACAGCGGGGAAUUACCAAAUUCUGCGGUUUUUGCUGUUUUCUCGGCGGCCUGUGUCGAACGGGACGCGUAAUUUAUUGGCGAGCGUAUCUGGGGCGGUUUUUGGUUCAACCUUCGUGCUAUGGAUUAAUUUUGAAUAAACGCACCAGUGAAAUGUUUGAUACGUGGCCGAUUGGAGAGGAUCGGGUUGACCCUGUUUAAAGAAUGAAAUAUAGAUUACGUAUUUGCGAUGAAAUUCUAAAUUGCGGGAAUAAUGAUAAAAACGUGCCCGAUGGAGAAUGAAAUCUUUUAUCCUUUUUACAUUUCAAUAAAAAUCCACUCGAUUAUAUUGACUCGAUGAUCAUAAUCCGUUAAUAUUUCGUCCUAUAAUUGCAAUUAUCCGAUCGUUAUUUCAUUUCCCAAUUUAAACGUUCCACUUAAUGCCUCUGGAAAUUAAUAUAAUAUUAAUGCUAUUUAGGAUCCUUUACGAUUUUUUUUUUUUUUUUUCGAAAAGCUUAUUCGAUUAAUUUGAAGGACGCAUAAAAUGCAGUUUCAGUCCAUCAAGUGAGAGCUUCAGGGUUCGUGCAACGGUGCAAUCUGCUUUUUGUUUUCUUUCCUGCAUGCGUCAACACGCACCGUUUGCACUUGCAACGUUCCGUGCUACGUCAUCGGGUAUUUCAACAGGGAAUAAGUGUCGGCGAAUAACGGGAAUCGAUAGCUUCUCUAAGUAAUGUAACGUUCCUCGAUGUUACACACCACAGGUGUUUAGAUACAAACUAAUUUUGAGUCGCAGGUACAUGGAUACUUUCACACGGAGUGCAUCGCGAAUGCGAGACCUUGCACGAGCAUACGUGCAGCAUUCUUUAAUACUUUCGCUACUGACGCAUACAUUGUGCUCGGUCAAUUGUUUCAAUAAUGGAUGGUGGACAAAAAUCAAUGAGUAAUAACACCAAACAACAAUAGUUCUUUUUUAAGAGACAAGAAUAUGACGCACCAUAUGUGGCAUAUGAAAAAUUGUUGGAUCGCAUUUUCUUAUUUCAUAAAUCAUUUUUCAAGUAAGUAAAUGUGAAUCGCGGAAGCGCUGUGCAUGGCUUCGGAUCGUUUCCUAAGAAAGACGUAUGUAAUGGCUUCUUAGAGUGUCCGUUGACACUGGAUUCACCGAGAUUGUACGAAAUCUCCUCUCCGUGGUACUUUGGAUUUCCGUAGUCGUAUCAGAAGCUUAGAGCGUAAUCCAUUUACACUUUAUUGGGGCACGAUGCGGCCUCUGGUCGAACGUAUUUCUGCCGCCAUCGUAUAGUGGCUGGAAACGAGGGAACGUUGUUUGUUCCUUAUUAUCUCGUGAAAUAUUGCCCUCUGGAACUUCGUUACACCGCGAUAUGUCCAGCCAUAGACGAAAUUAUGGCCUCCUCUUUGCCCACCUUUUCUUCCGUCAGCCACCCCAAAGUUCCUUUCGAAGAGAGAUCAAAACCUUUUCCAAAAUCAAUCUUUUCAACGUGACGCCAUAAUAGGUAUACUCAAAGUAUCAGACUAGUAAGCUGCGCUCCACGAUACGAAACGCCUCGUUAUUGCAACUUCUUCUCCAGGAUAUUCCUGGAAAGUUGUUGAACAGCGUGAAAUCGAUUGAAUCCUGCGAUGGAACAAGUAGAGAAGUUCACUUUGCGAAUUUUUGCCACGGUUCGCUGGCUGUUCCUUAAUUGGUACUACGAUAGCUUCGAUCGUUCAUACUUCUUUUUUCUUACUUCGCUUUUAUUUGAAUCUUUUUUUCUUUUACAUCGAUCUGCGACGAGUUUGACCCGGUUCGACUGGACGGCAAUUCGAAUAGCGAUUCUUACGGUAGAAAAAAUCGAAGCGUGUCUACACGAUGAAAUAUUUACCGGCUAUAUGCAGGUCGAACCUCGUUGUUUUUCUGGAAUCGAAGUUUGUUUAAACAUCGACUGGUGUUUGCAAAUGUAACGUACAAUUUAACGUGGAACAUGGUUGUAUAAAUAUCUUUGCUAGAUACUGCUGUAUCCGCGUGCGUUCUGGAAAAUAGAUUGUAUAUUCAAUUUCAGUAUUUGACACUUUGCAGUACAGUUUAAAUUGACAACAGAUAUCAUUGAAAUAAAUCCAACCAUUGAGCGUAAUCCGGUAUUGUGUUUUUAUAUUGAAUUACUUUAUUCUGUUGGCUAUUCAUUGUAUUUUUGUUUAGUAACAAUUGAACUUUUUGUAGUUUUUUUGUUAGUAAUCAAUUAAUUGGAGUAUCAAUGGUUGUUGUAUCUAAUUGCAAGAAAAUAAUUUGGAGUUAAUAAUAUAAAUAUUAAUUGAAUAUUAAGUGAAUGUUUUAAGAAAAUAUUAAAAUUAUCCUUCCAUAAUUUCCCCGCUGAAUAUAAAAAUUUAUGCGAUCAUCAAAUAACUCAAAUUACCAUCUACUAAUUUGACAAUGAAUAAUUUCUUCUCCGUUUUUUUACGGGUUCCGUAAAAGUUUUAAUCUUUCUUUUGAAUUUUCACAAUUGUAUCUGGGAAUUCGAGUUGAAUCAAGCUAUUAAAAUAAAGUUAAUUGUUCUUCUGCGUUAACAUUGGAACGCGUUCAGAAAAUGAAGGAAAUACAAACAGGUCGAGCAAAAUAAUUAUGAAUUAAACGAACGUAUUUCAUGAAAGUCGGUCAAUGUUCACCAUCAGCGAUUCGAAUAGUCAUCGUUUUGGUUCAUAGAACGUCGUUAUUUCUUAAUUCGAUAGGGGAAGUUAAGAAAGGUCGGGUCUAGGUCGCGUGCCUAGAUUCGCACGAUCGAACACACCCCCGUCUCGUGAUAUCGAUUUUUAAUGAAACACCCCUUCCCUCACAAUCUUACGGCUUCUCUCGAUCGUUUGGCAUAAUACCAACCCUCGUUGGCGAUUUUCGUGAAGCAGUUGCAGUGAAAAAAAUACAAUUUCUUUUUAAUCGAUAUCAGCUUAAAAAGAGAAUAUAAAAUAAAUAAUUGAUGCGAUAUUUACACAAACGAAGUACGUUUGCCAUUUUUGGAAAUCGUUCACCUGUUUAAAAGGAAGCACAAUUUUUUCAGCGCACUCGUUUAUGUGAAUAAAUGAAAAGCAAAACAAAAAGGUGAAAUAUAGGAAUGUUGUUUUAACAGCAUCGAUCGUGAACUUGGUCGAGAGCACGCGAGGAAUCUGCAGUGUUGAAUUAUUCGGGCGUUAAAUGGUGUAGGAACUAUUAAUCAGCCACCAACACCUUCGCCGGCAUUAACACGCUUUCGUACAGGAAACGAUGACAAAGGAUGUCGAACGUGUGAACAUCCUCAGUCACCGAACACUUGAUCCUCUUUUUCACCAUCCUGCUUGCAGUGUCACACGAUGCUUCCAAAAAUGACUCAAUGGAUGCCAUCUUUCAUAAAAAAGAGAACAAAGGAUUUCACCAUGAAGAAAAAUAACGUUUAACCCUCGAAUAGCAUUAGCCGGUUCAGUCGCGACUAGACAUUCAAAUUUCUAAACGUCAGCCUUUCAUAUGUAUGAAAAUAUAAAAUUUGGGUCAGCAAAGCUUUGCCAAGGAAGAGGUAGCUAAAUUAGUUCUAUUUAUUCAAAGAUAAGUCAAAGCGUUAAAGUGAAAUUAGUCGGUAGAAAGUAGAGUCGGCUAAAUACAGAGGCGAAACUGAUGGAGCGUAUACCAUUUAUCGCGUUUCGUCAAAGAAACAUGCAUAUUCAAAUUUCUUCGUCUGACGUUAAACAGUGGACGAUGAAUAUUCAUCGCUCGGCAUUUCACUCGCAGCUUCGAUAAACGCAAACGGGUAUCGCGAAUUAAGUCGCGAACUACGUGCUUAUAAUCGCGAUCGAAGCAUCGCCCUUUAACGAACGUUUCAAUAACGCGGAUGCAUUGUGAAAGUUCACCACGCACAUUGCGUGACGAAAAAUCUUGUCAACCCUUGCGAUACCUGUUUCGUGGUCGAUGUGUAUCGGGUUCUUCGUGUUUCCUGUCAGUCGAGAGUUUCCGCAGAAUUCGGGUCGCAAUCAGGAUGUAUGAAAUUUAAUAUCGACGCUCCUGUUGCGAUGCGAGUCUAUCGGAUUUGCAUGUGAUAGCUGAAAGCCCUUGUUCAGUGCUCUUUCGCUUUUACUAUCGUACAGAGAAUCGAAAAUAGACGCGCACCGUCAAAAUUGCAAAUUUUUAAGGAGAUCUAGGGAACACUUAGCGCGGACCAUGGUGAUGUCAGUCCAUGAUCCUAAUUUCUAAUUUUUCUCUUCAACGCGUUGAUCGUGCCAGUAUUAAUUACGAUAAAACGUAAAAUUUUCCAUUUUCCGCUAACCCAAUAAAACAGACAAGAGUAGUUAUAUUUCAAAUACAGAAGAUUAACGUUGUAGACGUAUCUCGAUUAUCUUUUGUUCGUCGUCGAGUCGUUAGCUUAAUCCCAGAGGAACGUUCAGGCUACGCGUGAUCACAAUCUGAACGGGAAGGAACAAUGUAAGUCGUAAGAGAAAUUAAACGUCGAUAUUCGUUAUCGAAAGCCAGCCGAGUGGAGGGUCUGCUGGCGGUAAUUAACUUCGUUCGAUCGGCAACGAGGCUGCAUUGUUCUCGUGGAGUUGGAAAAACGGCACGGAGACAAUAGACCGUCUAAUAGAUCGAUAUUCUACGUGAGAGGUUUCAUUGAUUUCCCGGGGAAAAACGCGUUACUCCUCGUUCCGGAUAAGACUCGGUCAAUCAUCUUCAACUUUGAACUGUAAUCACUAUGUACACAUCACGGUCUCGAUGUGUAUUUCGGUCAAUCUUAUUACACGGGUGUAAUCGAAUACACCACGGUUAGCCUAGAAAUUUCUACGGCUUUUGAACCUAGUUUACAAGCCUUGUUGGUACCUUUUUUAUUUUCUGACACGAGGCUACACAGGAACCCGGAAUGCCGCAAAAUUACAACCUGUUAACCCUAAUUGAUCCCUGAGUUUUUGUCACCACUCGCGGCUUAUUAGCAACGCUUCUAGCUCGAGUACGCUUGCACCUAAACACGCCGAUCAGAACAAUUGUAUUAUUUUAUUCUUGUCGCUUGAACGCCUUGAAAUGGAUCGUCGAUUGUAAGCGAGAUCGCGAUCGAGGAACGUAAGAAACGUCGGGUCACAGUUAACGCGUUAAAGUGGUAUUCCAUUUGCUAUAUUUAGAAGAUACCUUAUUUUACAUAUCGCAAAUGAAUGUUAGUAUUAAGAACUAUAUUUAAUAUCGGCAAUAUUAAAUUGAUAAUUGAAUUUACUGGACCUGAUGAAAGGAUCGAUCGAUUUCACUUUAAACACGUUCCCUGAUAAUUCAACUCCCACUUUCAACAAUAUCAAUUACUUAGAACUUGCCCAUCAGAAUAUUAUUACUCUGCUUCGUAAUUGAAAUAUAACACAAUUAAUUUGAUUCUAUUCUUGGCAGAACAAACCGAACGGCCUAUCCGAUCUCCAAACAAAGGAUUUUUCAAAUUUCAAAGAUGUCUAGACACAGAUUUGUUAUCGGAAUAUGCUAUCGCGAUGGGAUUCAAUCGCACGACACCGGUUAUUGUAACCGAACAAUGGGAAAAAAAUGAACAGUAGUCUGGUCAAUUUCCUUUCUAUCGUUUUUCAAAUGUAUCGUCGAGAACGUCGGUUAGCUAAAAUGCAAUAUUUCAGAGUACCCACGGAACAGUACCAUUAUCCGAAUUGAAAAACAUCGCGGCCGCAGAUAGGCCAAUAGGCAACCUGAAGAGUCAGUAGUUUCACUUUCUGGCUGGUUUCCAACGACCCGGAGACCUGAAUCCCUGUUACAUGUCGAUCGAUAUACAUAUUCUUUUUUAGCGAGGGAAAUCGUCCGUUAUAUCUUGAUCACAGAUUUAUUCGUGCCAUUUUGCAGCUUAUCGAGGAACACGUGAUCGGAAUAUAACGGCAGCCAGGGAUAUUUAUUGGAAAACUUUUUUGUCUUCUUGCCUCUUUAAGCAGCUUAUUCGUGACGUACGAAUGAGUCAAUAUAUAUACCGUUUACGGAUACUUUCGUCAUCGUGACUUUAUUGAAUAUUUAUUAUUUUCAUUUUUAACAACAUUUCGCGUGUCUUGUACGUUACCGAAGGGGUUGGAUCACGUUGAUGAUCGAUGUUCAAUGUCCUAAGUUUGUAGCAAACUUCGUUUGGAUUAUAUUGAAAUUUUCAUGAAAUAACAAGGUUUCGUUACCUUCGGAUUCUUAUAGAAAGCGCCAAUUUUUCGCGUCAUCACCUUGAGGGAAAUUAUCACUCGUUACGAGACCUAGCCGACUCGUUGUUGGCGAGCUUCGUCCAGUGCAGAAACAUUCAUACAGGAUGGGACAGCAUUAGUAUUUAUUAACCUAAGGUCGUCCCGUAAUUGACGUAAUUACCACCUCGAGAUAUUCCGCGAAGAUUGGGAAAAUUACUUGUAUCAGUCGUACACACCCUGCUUCCAAGUUGCUAACGACGCUUUGAAUUUGAUUAACCGUAAUUGAACGACACCUUUUUGCUAUUUCAAAGCUCUCUAAUGUAAAAGCAAUAAUUUCUUAGUUUUCUUUAUUUUUAUAUGUUACUUAAUCAAGCGUUCGAUACCCGGGCGAUCGAUUAAUCAGGUGCAGGAUUUAUUUUAAAGUGCCACCCCGUUCCCUGAUAAAGUUCGAUUCCCUGUUUCGCCAUUAUAUCCAGCGGAUAUUGGGGUCGCACGCAUUGCCUCUUCUAUUUCCAAUUAACAAUUAACGCACAAUUUAUAUGAUAAUGCGACGCGCGAAGAACAGCUCACGUCGCCAUUCAAUUAUCGUUCGUUUAUCUUUUUUCCCGAUAUUUGCCCGUAAUUUUGCGCGCAUGCUAAAAGGACCUUAGGUAGCAGGCAUAUCGACCAGGAAUAACAAUUUUUAAUUUAUUUAGAGGAGCAAUAUUGCACUCGUGGGACGGCGGUCUGCUACUUAGGGUAGAUAUACUACACUUAUGGGGUUGGUACUGGAGAUAGCAACUUGCCUCUUAGAAUCUGUACUUAUGGGGAUGGUGAGUUUUGGAAAGGUAGAAAUCUUGAUGCUAGAUAGGGCAAUAUCUAUACUUACGAGGUGGGAACUGGGAAUAACUUUUGCCAUUUAGAAAGGUAGUUUUACCAUUUAGGUGAUACUGUAUUUAUGAAAUGGAAAUUGAGAAUAGCUUUGUCAAUAAGAACAGUAAAACUCUUCCCAUUUAGAUAGAUAAUACUGUACUUAUGGGAUAAGGAUUGAGAAUAACAACUUUCACUAUUUAGAAAGGUAGAAUUCUUGUCACAUGAUCGAUACUACAGUUAUACAUAGGAUUAUAACUAGAAAUGAUGAUAUUUGCCGUUUACAAGGUGGAAAUCUUGUCGUUUAAACAACAGUAUAUCUAACCAAGAGCUAAUAUUUACGAGUACAGCUGUCCAGGGUACAAUCGGUGUUCAUUAAUCAAAACAGAGGGUAGGUUCUAAAUCCAAAUCACAAUUAGCUACUUCGCUCGCGAGUUAAUAGCACUCGACGUCGGUAGCCACUUUUCGAGCCGUUUCUCUGCUAGUAAACGACAUUGUCGUCCAGCGUGACGAUAAAUCAGACCUGGUCAUCAUUCAUAGCCGUUAGUUAACGAUACGGGAACUACAAUUAUUUUAAUGGUCCUGGCUGUCGACCGGCUGGGAAUCCUGUCUCGCUUCGCCUCGCGUGGCCAUCGAUGUUCCGCUACAUCCAACCCUCUCCAACACCAUCCAUAAUCUCUGUGGCUCGCAGCUAGAUGGAAUUUAUUGAUAAAACGCUACCGUGCGUACGUAUGCACCCCUGACCGAGCGGCGUCAGUAAGUCGUUUCGACGGGAACACGUGUACCCCUGUUACCGGUAUCACGCUUCUACCCCCGAACACGUUACGACCACGCGUGUGUCCUGUAUACGCGAUCGAAUUGAAACAAUUGCUUGUCCACCUCGAUACGUCAUCAAGAUCGGUGCUUGCAAUUCGUCUAAUUUACACGCGUGUGACAAUAGAAUGAAAUCUGUCCACACUUUACGAUUCGAACGAAAGGUUUUUAUUUAAGUAGCCUAUGAUUUUUUUUUUUCCGAAUAAAAAUGAAAAUAGCGACAAUACGAGUCCAGCUUUUAAACUGUCCAUACGAAACGUCGAAUGCAUUCUUUUGUACCUCCUUCGGCAUACCAUUUCCGUCAAUUGCCGCUUUCCGUUUCGUUGGAGCCGCGCAUUCAGAUAGCAUCGGUUAUAAUACCCAUCACGCUAAACGUUUUUCCUAAGCGAGCCUCGUGAAAGCAAUCUUGAAGGUAUCUCUCGGCGAAGAUGCCAAACGUAAUCUUCUGGACGCAUCGAACGUUGAAUGGCACAGCGUGACUUCCACGCAGCACGAGUUGAAAAAUUGGUCGCUCGAUAGAAACGACUCCUACAUACGUGUGUAGUCAGCUUCCUGUCGUUUCGCGAUGAAAAGAUCCAUUUGCUGCCGGUCGACUCGUUUCGACUCGGGACGACCUGAAAGCACGGAUGUUGAAGGUAUCACCGAGUGUUUACCUGGCCAGGUGUUGGUUCGUUUCGUGGAAAAAUGAGAUACAGGGAAGGUGUAACCCGAGUCGCUGUAAAUCUGACCUGCUCGUUAAGUUGGAACCAUUUUGUUGAAGUUUCCACGAAAACAUCCAUGUACGAUCCACUGUACGAUUCGUUCUACCAUUCUUCGUUGUACGAUUUGUUCUACCAUUUUAACUCGUCAGUUCUGAAAAUUAUCGGAUCUACCAUAGAAUUGAUCAGAUAUUGAGCAUCGUAAGAAGUGCAUGGGAUAAUAUAAGGGUAGUUGCAUCUGAAUGCAUUGCAUCUCGCGUUUGAUCAUCUGCUGAUAGUAAAUGCGCUUAGGUUCGUUAAAAAUCGCAAGUGCAUUCGAAUGGAAAGAUCACGAGAUAUUCUCAUGCCGAUUUUAACGGAAUAUUUAUAGUGUUUUCUUCGCUAAAUGACUUUAAAGCGUUUAAGUUACAGUAUCCGUAAAUCAUCAUUCGAACACGAGUAUCAAAAGAAAAAGCGUAGAAUGAAAAUGAUAAAGUGUUUUCUUAAGCUUAAUCAACUCCAGUUAAUUAUAAUAAACCGUGUUCGUAGGGAUUAUUAACAUGGUCUGCAACAAGAGAGGAAGAUAAAGAAUUUAAAGUGGAAAUAUCGCGUUUCACGGGUCAUUAAUUCGUCUUUGUUUAUAUCACCAUUAUCCAGCGAGUCCGGUAUCUGCAAAUAAUAUGCCAUUGUGCUCAGAUAAAUCAACUUUAUCGCACACGACGAAAGGAUUUCCAUUUUUUCUUGAUAACAGUUUUGCGCCUAACGUUGCCCACCUUUUCGUGCUCCAUUUCGUGUCGCGCUAAUAAUUCCUCGGGAAUAUUAGUCUCGAAAGAUUCCGAGGCGAAAACGUUUGGCUUGCUGAUAGCAAAUAGAAGCGUGUUGUCGGCCAGGAAAAACUGACCUCCUUUGAAACAUUACGGGGGAGUCGCGUGAAAUAUCGUCGGAGAUAUCGUGAAAACGCCGUCGUUCAUUUCGACAUGGAUCCCAUUGUCUUUUCUUUUAUCACCAAGCCAUCGCGAUAUCAGUCUGUGAAUGCCGGCGCUGCUUUAUUAGAUCCGUUUGUUUUUUAUCAAUCAACGAAAAAACCGCGUCUGUUCUGUCGGUUAUUAAUAUUCGUUGCGUUGAUAAAAUCGACGCCAAGUUUUGACAUCCGUAUUUCGAAUCAACGAUUCAGAUUAAAUAGUAUAAAAUUCAGAAAAUGAUUAUUCAUUACGGUGGCCGUUGUUUUAAAAACGAAUUACAUCACUUCUUUCCUCAUCAAUUUACACAUAAUAGAGGAAAAGCGUUUGGAAUUUCCCAAAGUAAUCUCUGUUUCGAGUCGCAUUCUCGUUCCAUUCUCUUCAUUUACAUGUACCUAACUAGAGAAAAUCGGCAAGCUACUCGCAUCGAUGGACAAGGAUCGCGUGUAACACGGUUAACAUCGAUGCGAUAAAGCGUUUCUUCAAAGGACCUCGCUGGUAAACGACCAAAGCUCUUCCGUUUCACCGUCUACAAUCCAAUUAUAAUUUGAAAUCGGCCACGGUGGGAGAGCUCGAUUAAAGGGGCGUGCUUUGUGCGUCGCUAACAAGUGGCGAAAAUCCACGCCUCGUUAAAAUUACGUCAAAGGGAUCGCAUCCCCCGUGUCGAAAAUGAAUUCCUUGCUCGCUGUCUCGAGAGCACGUAUAAACGAAUUCGGUGCCUCUUCCCGGAGCCGUAAAGUCGAGACACCGGGAAAAGUGUGUCUGAAAUUUGAUGCGAAUGGGGUGCUUCUGGUGAAAAUUUAACGGGAUCAUUAUUUCUGCUCAAACUAUGGAACAACUUUAACCUAAGUUGAAUCUAAGAUGGCUCUAAUAAUCUUGAGUUAACAGUUAAGGGGUUACGCCACUCUGAAACAAGAAAAAAUAGGCAUAUUUUGGGAAUUUUUUUUUUUUUAAAUGAUGGAAUAAAUCCAAAUUCUGUAAGCAUGCCUUUAUUUUACAACUAAUAAACUUCAAAAAAUAAUUCUUGUACAGUGAUUCAAGUCAAACUAUGGGCUCUGCAGCAUUUCUUCGAUUUUGUAGGGCUAAACCAGCAGCUUUUGCAAUUUUUAACUUAUGAUAAAAAACCAAAAUAUUUUCGAUUAUAUAUGAGAACAGCUACCGAACUACGUAGGAUUUUUUUGAUAUAUUCAUUUUUGCAAAAAGUGGCGUAUUUUUUAAGAGAAAAUGUAAAAUUUCAAGAAAAAAGCAUCAGAAAAUUAUUUAUAACAAAAUAACUAUGCAUUAUAAUAAAAAAAAUCCUGCGUGGUUCGGUAGAGAAUUUAAUUUUGAUACUGUUAAAUUUUCAAAUCGAUUGAUGAUGAUCUGUUUGAUUUAUGAGUCCGCCCAGUUUGAAAAAUGCGGUUUCGAGAAAACUGCGUUUAUUCUUCAGUAAUAGCAGUAGCAGACCGGAAGGGGCUGCGCCAUAAUUCGAAAUUCGAGUAAAUUUUCCCACCCAUAAUCUUUUGCCAUAUCAUUUUUAAGAUAUUAAGGCACCUUUUAAGCAAAACAAAAUUUUGAUUUUUUCAAAAUACUAAAGUGGCCUAACACCUUGAUAACUUUGGAUAAAAAUCUUAGUUACUAUGCCAAUGAUCCCUGAGCGGAGAGCCGCGUUGGAUAUCCAACGGGAAGCGGUGAACUGUUCAGGACAUCCUCCUCGUUUCUGACGGAAGUGUGUCGGCGUUAUCUCGACCGAGCCACGUUCGACUCGUGGCGACUUUCGUCUGAAUAACUCUCGGUAUCUGGUUGACCCAUCUUGGGAAACGUACGUAGGAGCGGAACCGGAGGAUGAAGUGGACUCGCAAGACGCAGCCUCGGCGCCUCCGCAAAGGAAACGCGAAACGAACGCACCUCGACUUCCUCGAAGGAUGAACAGAGACAAAGAGAAGGUCGUGCCACGAUCCGACGGGGGAUUCGUGCAAAAAAUAACCGCGAUUCCGAUCUCGUUGUUGUUUCUCUUCGGAGGAACAAGAAGUUAGAGAGACGUGCCUGAACGCACCGAUUCGAACAACUUCGCGAACGUUUCAAUUUCGGACCGACGAUUUUGCUGCGUGCUCGGAUUCCUGAAUUCGAAGGAUAAUGGACCUCAACAUCGUUUCUUGCACCGUGUUUCACACUGAUUCGAGCAGAGAAUAGAAUAAAGGAUUUCUGGUUCAGAAUGCGGCACUUAGGUAACCGCUGAGGGGGUUGAUGUGUUGGAAUGAAUUUUUUCUUGCUGUAAUAUGUGGAGAACGCGUGAAAGAAAUAUCAAUUUCCUUUUUACAUUUCUAAUCGCAAGAACUAUUCUCAUUCGAAAACUAGACUUUCAUCCGUCCGGUGGCACAAGGUCCUUGUAAACGACUUCGAUCGAUAAAAUUGUACGUUGAAAAUGAAAGAGAGAAAAGAGGGAGGAAAAAUGAUGAAAAGAUGAAAUUGUCUUUUCGCGAGAAAAUAUAAAAUUGUUAUACACGUUCAAAUUAAGAGGCGUCGCUGGUGUAGAACAUUAACAUCUGGCAGAGCACGAAGCCCGAGGAAAAUAUAAUAAAGCAAACGCGACUGUGAAAUAAAAAAAUAAAAAUAAUAAAAAGAACCUACUACCGUGCGAAUGCCGUAUGAAAUUAUAAUUGCAUUGAACCGACGCGACGGAGGCGCUGGUGUUUCUCAUUUGUUAAGCAAGUCGCGCAUUGACGUCACGCGGCUACGAGAAGCAGAGCCAAAGCAACGGAAAACGUGUGGCUCUUUGGUGAAACGAAACUCGAGCAUGUUCGUCGGGGAUGACGAUGAUGCGGUUGUACGCUUGGCUGUCUCUGCUGUUUGCUCAGAAGUCCCGAAGGUAUCGACACACAUUCACACGGGCAUAUUUUUCGACUAGCUGCCACUGCUGCUUCCUUUUUCUUCCUCUUCUUCUUCUUCUUCUUCGUUGGGAUGCUUCGGGGCGAAGAAUGUACACACGAGCACGCGCGCCUCCCACAGUAAAUGUGGGUCAUUCUGUAUGCAUAUGCGCAUAGAUGCACCCGGUCCUGCACCCGAAUGCCCCAAUGACCCGGUUUGCGAAUCCCAACGUGUAACCUCGCCUCUGUGACGCGCGCACUCACCGAAUCAAGGUAAACCCUCCCGAUACAUGCUCGCUAUUAGCCCACUUGUCUUGCUUCUUUGUUCCCUGUUUGCUCGAUCCCCAAACCGCGAUCCUUCCUCUGAUCCUUACUCGAGGGCCUAGUUUUCGAGUACCGCCAGCUUCGUGUUGCCAUACUUAUAUGUAUAUUGACGAGGAGCCCUUCUAUUAGAUCAUUUCAAAAUGUUAACCCGCAGAUGUUGAAGUAUCCGUCGGAGUAGCAGAACAGAGGGAUUUGGAAAUUUUACCAUCGUCGAGUCACUUUUCGCGCUAUGCUCCCCUAUAGGUACCAAGAAUCCAUUCGGAAGGUCGGCGACGGACGGUACUUAGGACUUAUCGUUAGACCUCCCCAUGUUCUCCAGUAACCUAAUUUGUUAUCUUUAAAAUAGAAAUUAAUCAGUUUACGUUCCUCUACUUCGUUUUCUCGUAGAGCUUAAAAAUAGUAAGAUAACAUGGAUGCACAUUUAUCUUCUUUUUUUCCCCCGUUAAAACAGAAUCGACUAAUUAAGUGUCGUCCUCGGUCGUGUGUACUAAUAACGUGUUACCUAUUUCAGUGUGAAAUACUGUUUUUCUAGAGUAUUUAUGUAAUAACUCUGUGACCUAUUUCAGCUGGCGUUUAAGUAUGUAAAUUGCACAAAAUAACUAUUGUGCCAUGGUUUAAGCUUCUUUUUUAAAUUGUUGCCUUUUAAUGUUUUCACGUUAGCUGAUCUAACAUGUUUCAGCACAAUGUUAUCUUGAUUAGGUUUUCUUGCAUUGUACGUUUAGAAUCUUUCUCACAGCUGUAUGAAUUAAUUAAUGUUUAAUUACUCGGAUGACAGAAAGUUUCAAUUUCGCUAAGUUACUUUCUAAGAAUUUUACAGCUUUAAUUUUAAAAAAUUUUCAUUUUAACCAUCUUGGUCACACGAUUUCACAUAUUUUCGUUAAAAAUAUAAAACAGCAUGCAAUCUGUUGGUGAUUUAUUCAACGAUUGUUAAUUGCGAUUCAGCCGCCAUCGACUUCGAAUAGAAUUUAUUAAAAAAUUGCAACCAUCAUUUAUUUUAUUACUUGGAACAUAUUUAUUUGAAAGCUUGUUCCGUGAAUAACGAAUCCUAUUAUAAAUAUUAAAACUAAAUUCCAUUAGAAUGCCCCAUUGCUUAACGUGAUAUUUUUUUUACUCACGAUUUAUUGUAUGAAUUUUUUAAAAAUUCACGCGCCAGCAUUUCGCGUUGAAAAUACAAUUACUUCAUGCGUCGUUUAACCCGCGAAAUCGUUUCGGUAGUUACGCAAGGUAUCGUGUUAUUUUACUACAACGAAGCAACCUUGGCUUAAUUAUCAAACGUCGUUUUUAAUUAUCAUCAUUAUACAAUUUUAUUUUUAAUUUCAACUUGUUCAGUUUCUAUCUCCUGUCGCAAUAUUUUUUAGACACUCUGUAUAAAUAUAGCAAGACCGAGGAUCAAUCCUUUCUCCGUGAAGUGAAAGCAGUGAAAGCCAAAUAAAACGAGCAGGUUGAUGAAAAGAACGAAAUAGAUGAUACUAGCGACAGAAUGUAUCGCGUGAAAACAAUUAUCUUCAUAAAUUUUUUAUUUAUUAAUUAUCUUCACUUAUUUGUUCCUUUAUUUAACUCGUCAUUUAUAAUUAACAUAGGAGCUUAAUUAGCAAAAGAGACAGAAUUAAAUAGUACAUACAGAGAAAAUUAUUUUUAAUUACAUUGCACGUCAAGGAAGUUUAAUAAUCCGUAUCAUUGUGUCGUCGUAUAAAUACACAUUACUGUUUCUGUUAAUUAAUUUUGCUUAUAAUACCCGUUAAUUUGUAGUAUUUACAUGUUCAAUUUAUUUAUGAACGGUAUCGUGUUCAUUGAUUUCUAUGGAACAUAACUAUAACGGCACGUUAAUAGGAAUAUUAAUAGAAUUGUGAAAUAUAAAGAGGUAAAUCUAUGCAAUAAAGAAGAUUGCGUAAACGGAUGAAACUAUGCAUCUGAUUAUUUAAAAUAACCGGGAGGACGCGUUUGAGCGACUGGAAUUAAAUUGAGGAGACGUAUAAAUGGCUGUCACUUGAGAUAUUAAUUAUAAAACACUCGUAUCCCUCUUCUAUGCAACAUUGGCUGCAGCUGUAUUAUUUUGAUAACCAAGUGUCGUGGUACAGAAUUUUCAUUUUCCAAAUUUAUGACGUUGAAACACCAUUUUUCAUUAUUUUAUAUGUACCGAAGUAUUUCAAUUUACAACUAUAAUUUAUAGUUUUUAUAACUCAAUCCAAUUUGAUUUAUAAUGAUCGUUUUUUUAAAUGCAUUUAUCGCAAGAAGAAACGAAUGGAUGGUUUCUGGUGGCUUAAUCUUAAAUGGUCAAAGCCCGAGUCAUUAACGUCAUCAGUGUGUCAGUCAUGAUGUUCGCAUCACGGCCUGUCCAAGAUUCGAUGAAAAACGGUAUCUUAAGCACUCAUCGAGCGAAAUAGUGUCGUCUGGAUAAUGACGUUUUUAGCGCUAGCCUCUCCAAUGUAACAGCUCUAUAUAGAGUGCGGCUGUGACCUAGAAUCUUAAAGACAUAUUCCUUGGAUUCGUCGCUGUUAACAACAUGACCAUAAUAAUCCAUAGCCUUCGUUCUGGAUUUCAAAACGACCGAGUCAGAUUCCUAUGAAUCAGUUUUCUUACCUUCGUAGUUUAUGUACUUUUACGUAAAACGUAUCUCUGAAAGUAAUCCAGAGCAUGAGAAAUAAGCGAAAUAAAAUGAUAAAAGGAUUUUGUAAAAAUUGUCAUGCAACCAUGAUAAACGAUUGUUUAUCCACUGGUGAACCAGAGUUGGCUCGAGUUUCUAUUUCUAUUCACCACGUGCGUUGGAAAAUUUUCUUUCACCCAUAACUCAGCUAGGGAUCAUUUCAUGGAUAUUUGCCCAAUAGAGCGACUUAAUGGAUUCAUCAUGCUUCCAUACCAUAAUUAGCUUAGCGGCGUAUCAACGAUACUCCAGUGUGUUUUGAGAGUGACUUUGAACAGAUGUCAAA
Molecule: long non-coding RNA, 16145 nt
Organism: Osmia lignaria (orchard mason bee)
Lineage: Eukaryota; Metazoa; Arthropoda; Insecta; Hymenoptera; Megachilidae
Source: RefSeq, a predicted model, not a curated record